GGCGGCGUAGCUCAGGUGGUUAGAGCGCACGGCUCAUACCCGUGUUGUCGUUGGUUCGACUCCAACCGCCGCUACCA
This 77-nucleotide transfer RNA is filed under the name Candidatus Omnitrophota bacterium. RNAcentral's name for it is "tRNA-Met". It matches the Rfam family "tRNA". From Rfam's summary of the family: Transfer RNA (tRNA) molecules are approximately 80 nucleotides in length. The record is from RNAcentral. Lineage: Bacteria; Pseudomonadati; Candidatus Omnitrophota.